GUGUUUCUCCUUCUUAUUUGCUUUUUUCGUUUUAACAUAUAAAUAUGGACUUAAUUGACAUUUUCAUUAUAUAGUAUAAAAGUUGUUUCUGUUGAAAUGGGACGCAAAUAAUCGUCUAAAGAUGUCCUGUCUCUGUCGAGUGUUUCCCUCAUCCCUCAUUCUACACGACCGAUCGGUUUCAAGAAUGACCUACAGAAUACAUUCUGACACUCAAGUCAGAAUUUUCCUCUGUAGACCUCUUGUAAUUCAAUAGUAAGUCAGUCAGAAUGAGUUUAUCUCUAUAUUAGAUUUCUAUUUAUAGAAUUUAUAAAAAUCUGACCAAUUAAUUUAUUUCUUAAUGAUCAUUUAUGCAAACUUUAAA
RNAcentral lists this long non-coding RNA (361 nucleotides) under Vigna radiata. Its description in RNAcentral is "long non-coding RNA (VRAD_LNC009146)". Lineage: Eukaryota; Viridiplantae; Streptophyta; Magnoliopsida; Fabales; Fabaceae. The record is from RNAcentral.